AAAAGAUUUGGAAAUCUGGUCAAGAUUGAAACUUUCCUUGUUGGGUCGAAUUGCUGCUAUAAAAAUGAAUGUAUUGCCGAAAAUGUUAUUUUUGUUUCAAACCCUACAGAUUGUGGACAGAGUGGAAUGUUUUGGAAAGUGGCAGAAGGAUAUAUCCAAGUUUGUCUGGCAGGGCAAAAGCCCCGGAUAAAGUUUAAAAUACUAACUGAUUUGAAAGAAAGAGGGGGGUUUGCCCUGCCGGACUUGAGAUUAUAUUAUGAAGCUGCGGCCUUCUGCUGGAUGAAAGAUUGGUUACUUCUUGAGAACACUGAUGUUCUAGAUCUGGAAGGGUUUGAUAAUGCUUUUGGUUGGCAUGCAUAUUUGUGGUACGACAAGGUAAAGGUUCAUAAAAUGUUCAAAAAUCAUAUUGUUAGAAAAUCAAUAUUUAUGGUCUGGACAAAAUACAAGGACUUAUUAGAGGGUAAGACUCCGAGGUGGCUUUCACCAGCAGAGGCCAAGGCCCGGAAAAACCUAAUAUGGAGGUUGGUUGGCUGAAAUAUGGGGAAAUUAUAGAAAAAGUAGGAGAAACUUGGAGGCUGCAGAGUUAUGAAAAAUUAAAGAAUAAGGUGCAAAAUUGGCUUCACUAUGCUCAAAUUCAAGAGGUUUUUAAGCUGGACAAAAGAACAGGUUUCCAGGUGGAAAAAUCGAAACUAGAGACAGAAUUGUUGGAACCAAAGACCAAGGUACUUUCGAGAAUGUAUAUCUUGCUGCUUAAAUGGAACACUCAGGAUGAGACAGUCAAAUCAGCCAUGAUAAAAUGGGCUCAGGACAUUGGGUACAACAUUAUGUUUGAAGACUGGGAAAGGUUAUGGACCACUGGUAUGAAAUUCACGGCAUGUAAUGCCUUGAAAGAGAAUAUUAUGAAAAUGAUAUACAGGUGGUACAUGACCCCAGUCAAGCUUGCUAAGAUAUAUCAUUUGUCUGAUAAUAAAUGUUGGAAAUGUAAGGAGGCUGAAGGGACAUUCUUUCACCUCUGGUGGACUUGCCCAAAAGUGAAGGCCUUCUGGGAAAUGAUCUAUAACGAGUUAAAAAAGUGUUUAAGUACACUUUUCCCAAGAAACCAGAGGCCUUCCUACUGGGCAUUGUCGGUCAGAAGGUGUUAAAGAAGGAUAGAACCUUUUUAUGUAUGCAACUACAGCAGCAAGAAUUCUUAUCGCAAAAUACUGGAAGACUCAAGAUUUACCCACGCUGGAAGAGUGGCAGACGCAAUUGAUGGGCUACAUGGAAUUGGCCGAGAUGACUGCCAGGAUCCGAGAUUUGGAGGAAGAAGCAAUGGAGGAGGAUUGGAAAAAUUUAAAGAUUAUUUACAAAAAUUUUAUAAGUUAUAUGAAUGUUAAGAAUUCGCAUGAUUAGGGAAAUUCAGCUCCAGCAAUAAGAUUAAGGUAUGGGAAACUAAGCUAUAUUAAUGAAAGGACUAACGUUUAAAAGAACAUUAUAUAUAUUAUUAGUGUAAAUUGACAAUAAGCAUUUUAAACGCAAAUCACAAGUAUUUGAAAGAACAAAAGAAUGCACGAAAUAAGGUUAUAAUUUGCUGAAAAAUUUUAUUGUAAAGAACGCAAGGUGAGGGGGACGGGGGGAAGUCCGGUUGGUUAUGGAAAAAUGUUUUGAAAAGAUGAUUUUCUUCUUUUUCUUUCUUUUUUCUGUUAUUUCUUUGUAUAUCUGACCUUGUAUUUCUAUCUGGAAAAAUGCAAUAAAAAAUAUUAUAAAAAAAAAAGCAAAAAAAAAAGCAGUGCAUUCAGGAUGCACAGUUUGGGGUGGGGUAUUUUGGUUUCCCCCCUCUCAGGCCCCCACAUUUCUUGGCCUUUCUCUCUGUCAGGCAUCCAGCCCAGACAGGGUCAAGCGACCACAUAGACUUUUUAUCAGCUAUUUAAACACGGCAUACAUUUAACCUCGCUUUGGGCUGUCUGACUGGACCUUUGCACAGCGGGUGAGAAGAGGACGAUGGACUCAGCUAUUGGGGGUACUGAUAAAGCCUGCUCAAAAAUCAAGGUCCCUUCAUUCACCCCUCUCUGUCCCCAGGGACUCUGAUGCAGGGACUGUCUUCCGAUUUGGCAGGCUGGGAGGACUGCACCAUUAUUAGACUUGGGAGACUUUACUCCUGCCAAAUUAUCUUCCAACCACCAAAGAGGAAGAUCUGUUCUGCACAUUGGAACAGGGUUUGCUUACCUCUGGCCCUCCAGAUGUUUUUUGACUCAAGCUCCCAUCAGCCCCAGCCAGCAUGGCCAAUAAAUUAUCCAGCAAUCAUCUGGAGAGCCACAGAUCACCCCCCACCCAAAAGAAAACUUUUUAUGCCAGGGAUGGGUAACAAUUUUAAGUCCAAGGGCCACAUUCCCUUAUAGGCAAACUUCUGAGGGCCACAUGUGAAUAGUGGGUGGGAUCAGAAGCAAAAGUGAGCGGAGCAAUGAAUUUGAGUUUUGCCUUUGUCCAGUACGUUGAUUCCUAAACACACUCACACUUCCCUCUCUAUCCUCUGUCCAGACAAGGAACAGCCAUCAUCAGAUGGACACAUUCCAGCGAUGCAAAAAUACUUGAGUACAGAGCAGAGUCUGUGAGGGGUGUGGCUUGUAGAAAGUCCUGAGGGCCAAAUGGAGAGGCCUGGGGGCCACAUUCAGACCCUAAGCUUGGAGUUCCAAACCCUUGCUAAUAGGGGAUUAGACCAAUUGACAGAGGAUAAGUCUUUCAGUGGCCACACCAUGUGUAGAUUAGGCACAAGACAUUGCACUCCCUUCCUUCUGCACUUCUACUUCUGUUGCUGCCUCUCCCUCUCCCUGACCUGAACAGUUUUUGCUGCCGCCACCAGCGCUCUCAAAAAGUGCUCCCAAAAUUACAGGGGCCAUGUCACCUCUCGCCCCGUUGCCAUGCUCUGAGAAAAGGGUCUGACAUGGGUGGUGGUGAGGAGCAAAGAUUUAGUCUGCUGAAGCAAACAGAAAUGACUAAAGACCCUAGCAGCUCCUUAAACGAGGAACAAAUAGCAUUUAGCAAAUUAACUUUUAACAUGUCUACCCUGAAAUAAAUCCCCUGGAAUUUAACAAGGUUUUUGCCCAGCUAAGUGAGUAUAGAAUUAAACUAUUAAUUGUCUUUUAAGUAGUUGUAGUUUUUUAAUAGCAUUUUCUAUUUAAAGUGGCCAAAGAUUAUUUUGUUAUUUUUAGACAUGGGACUUAUUUGUGGAGCUAAUUAGCCCCCUUGUUUUUGCACAGCUUCUGGACUUUUCUGGAUCAAUCAGGCUGCAGGACGGCGGCGCUGUUGGCGCUGCGUUCGUUUCACUCUGGCUUCCUGCUGUGGGUUGCAGAAUGGAGGCAGGGUGCAAUUGCUUAUCGCAUGUGAGCAAAAGGAAGGAACGUUCUUCUGUGGUAUAUACAAUGACGCACCCUCCACGCCACAUCUGCUUUGAGGAGUACCAGCUGGAGUCAAGGCAAGGAAUCCAAAAGGGGCCAGAGGCGCCUGGGGAGCUCUCCUGAGCAAGCUCUGGGCACUCUGGGGGUCUCUGCCAACCCAAGGGCCGCAAUCCUUCAUGGGCAACCUUCCAAGGGCCACAUGCCAGUGAUGGGCAGGGCAACAACUGUUACUUCUCUAUGUACAAUAGGUGACAGUCCAGCCACACAAAAAGGAGAUGUUUCUACAGGCCCAUGGCAAGCUAUGUGUUUCUUUUUAAGCCAUGCAAGGGCUAAAAAUGCAGAUAACAUUGUGUCUAAGUGGGCCUUCAUCUGCUUGCAGUAGCCGGCAGCAGAGGGCAAACCCCAGCUGGACACUUUAAAGAGCCCUGUGCUUCCAACAAAGCUUUCUCAGCUUGGAUGAACAGAGUUCACAUCCUAACUAUACAUUUAAAGCACUCUUAGUCAUGGAGAAUCCUGGGAACUGUAGUUUAUUAAGGGUGUGUGCACACUCAGAGAAUGACCUCCAAACCCUCCUAAACAUCUCCGCAGACGCUUACGAAAAGCUUGGCCUAUCGCUCAACAUUCAAAAACCCAAAGUGCAGUACCAACAAGUACAAAACAACCACUCUGCAGUGCCACAAAUCCACUCAAUGGUGUAAUGUUGGAAAGUGUCAAUCACUUCUCCUACCUGGGCAGUUAUCUUUCCACAAGGGCUGACACUGAUGCCGAAAUCCAGCAUCGCCUGAGCUCUGCGAGGUCAGCUUUCUUCCAAUUGAAGUGCAGAGUGCUUGAGGACCAGGACAUUUGCAGGGAAACCAAAAUGCUCAUUUACAAAGUUAUUGUACUACCAACCUUACUGUAUGCUUGUGAAACGUGGACCUCUUAUAAACGCCAUCUCCAACUCCUUGAAAGAUUCCAUCAACAGUGUCUCAGAAAAAAAUUACACAUCACUUGGGAAGACAGGCGAACUAAUGACAGUGUACUGGAAGAAGCAAAGUUCACCAGUGUCAAAGCAACGAUUCUUCAACAUCAACUUUGUUAGACUGGUCACGUUGUUUAGAUGCCUGAUUAUCGUCUUCCAAAGCAACUACUCUAUUCCGAACUUAAAAAUGGAAAGCGUAGUGCUGGUGGUCAACAAAAGAGGUUUAAAGACUCUCUCAAGGCAAAUCUAAAAAAAAGUAGUAUAAACACCAAGAAUUGGGAAAAACUGGCCUGCAAGUGCUCCAAUUGGAGAACAGCCUUUACCAAAGCUGUCAUGGACUUUGAAGACGCUCGAACUCAGGACGAAAGGGAGAAAUGUGCUAAGAGAAAGGCACAUUUGGCAAACCCUCACUGUGAUCAACUCCUGUCCAGAAACCUAUGUCCCCACGGUGGAAGGACGUGUGGAUCCAGAAUUGGCCUCCACAGUCACUUAUGGACUCAUUGCUAAGACCAUGUUUAUGGAAGACAAUCUUACUUGGCUACGAGUGAUCGCCAGAGAAGAAGAAUGGGGGUCAGGCCUACCAGGGAUCAGCUGCUGUGCUCAUUAGGCCUGACACCCUGCCUAGUGCAGAUCAUAUUUUUAGUAAUAAAGAGUUAACUCCAACUAGCAUGAUGUGAUUUACUGCUGGCUCGCUUUUGACAGUGGAAGACAUUCAGUAAAAUAAAACUACCAUUUUUAAGCUUUUGGGGCCCUUCCAGGCGACCUGUUAGUAUACAUCUUGAUUUGCUUACAUGGUGAUUAGACUAUUCCGAUUUGAUCAUUGGGAGGUUAUGCAAUAAUGAGCAUUUAUCCUGACUUACUUGCAUGCUAUGUUUACACAUCUUCCCAUUAACCAUUAGUUCAUCCCAUACUUUUCAUUAAAUUUCCCUGUGACGUUCCUAACCACAAAAGAUCCAGUUGUUCCUUUUAAGUGGAUCUGUUGUCCUAGGGCAACAGAGAACCUUAAUUCACUUUAAUUACACAACCCUAGUGUUCAAGAAUGGGCUUGAAUCCUUCCCUUAAAAUACUGACAGUCUGGAGGCAGCUUUUAUGACUUGAAAGAAAGAAAGAAAAAAUGUGAUGAUGGUUCUUCAACAUCAAUAUCUGUAUAAAUACCCUAACAGUCCAAAGCUCUUUGGGGCUUUUGGCUGCUAUCAACAGACAUUGUCAAUCAUUUAGCAAAUGUCAUGUGUAAUCUGCCUGAUAAAUUCUGCUUUGGUUUCUUGGGUUCAGAAUAUACACAGGAAACCUCCAGGCUGCUGCAACCACAUGCCUAUUAUACAAACAAUUGUUUCUGAGAAGAGGAAUUCUUAUUAGGCAAUAGUCCUGAUCUCCACCCAAACCAAGCUAAGCCAAGCACAUAGCAUUAGCAUCAAUUUUAAAAAAGCAAGUCUGGAUAUCGACAGAGAGGGCUACAGUUUGCAAGCUUGGUUUGCAUGGAUAAAAAGUGCCAAAUCCAGAGCCUGGCAUCUCCAUUCCAAGGCUGCCUCUCAAGUACCAGAGCUGGGGAGAUCUUUUCUGUAAAAGCUCCUGCAGAGCCAAUCUGGGUAUCACAGAAUUGGAUCACAGAAUUGGAUAAGGUUUUGUAGGUGAUCUAGCAUGGAAUAUUAGGUGGCUCUUAGACAAAAUUCUGGCAGCUAUAGACUGAAGUGGAGAUACAUUGUGCUGAAACUCUCUGUUUGAAGCCCACCCCCUAGUUUCAAAAUGAGCUGCAGGGAUUAUCACCUAAUCUUCCUCCACACACUCCAUCAUCCAAAGCAUAUGGACUAGAAACAUAAUUUUAAAAACAUUCUCCAAAUGUAAACUGCUAUUUACAGAAUGCUGAAAAACAAAACAAAAAAACCCUGAAUUUCAUUAGAGGCCAUGCUUCUAUUUAGUCUUGAAGGAGCUGCAAAAUCAGCAUCACUUCCUGAGUCUUACAAUGUAAUGUUUUUUCCAAGACAUAAGUAUUUCAAGCUUGAUAUGUCUUGUAAUAUUUUUGUAACAUGGGCCUAUUUUUAAGGAUGGUCCCAUAACUAUUUUUUUUAAAAAGGUAAAAAAAAGCACUUGAGAUAUAUGCAACGGAUAAAAGAAGACAUUGCAUAAUUGUGCCUGUGGAGUGUGACUGGUAAAAAUUGGGUGCAUUAAGAAUGGUUAUGAACUGUUAAGGAACAGCAUUGUUGAAAUCCCCAGUUCUCAAAUAGAUUACUCUUGCUCACAAGUUGCUGAGCGAGAAAAACCUGCUGGCUGUUGUCAUCCAGAGGCUCACGUGUAACUUGUCUCCCACACAUGUAGAAGCGACUCUUAGCUUUAUUAAAACUGAAAAAUAGCUCCCGAAGGCUGCCAAUGGGAAUGGAGAACCAGGGGUGCAAGCAUCUGCUUAAUCCUUUCCCUCCAGCUGUUUUUCUGCUCAAAAUCAAUCCCUCCAGUUGCUUUUCCACCCAAAGGGAAAAGAGAAUUAUGCUGCUGUUCCUCUGUUCCCCAUCAGUCUCCUGUGACUGCUUUUUCUUACAAACAAAACAAGAAACUGUUGUGGACAUCUCUGAUGGAGCCCCAGGAGACUUUGGCCAAAACCAGGCAAUGGAUGGCUGGCUGGCUUUUCAUUGGCGCUGGCUGCUAAUCUGAGGGGGUUCUUGGCAAAGGGACCUUGGUUAUUAUAUAACAGGUUCCCCUCCCUGCCCCCUGAUUUGUGGGACAGAAUACCAUAUAACAAAGCAGUGGGUUUUAUUUUAUUUUUAAAGUGACAGAGCCCGUGUGGGUGCCUGCCUCCCAGUAGCUGCCAUUUUUAUUUAUCUGCAAUGCCCCCAAAUACUGUGUCAGUCAAAGACAUUGUAGGGGAAACAAAAUGGUAGCUACAAUAAAAACUUAAGAACAUAAGGUGAGCUUGGUGGGAUCAGACCAAAGGCCCAGGAUCCUGCUUUUACAAUGGCCAAGCAGAUCCCUAUGUGACGCGAAAGAACAGGGCCGAGGCUCAACAGCAACUCUCUCCAAUUUCAACUCCUAGCAACUAUUCAGCAGCAUAUUGUCUUUGACACUGGAGGCAGAACAUAGUCAUUAUGUCUAGCAGCCAUUGACAGCAUUAUCCUCCAUAAAGAGGAUGGGUAUCAUAUCACAGGUGGAACAGACUCCCUCGAGAGAUGGUGGACUCAUUGGAGGCUUUAAAGCAGAAAUUGGACAGCCAACAGUCCUGGAUGCUUUAGCUGAGAUUCCUGCAAUGCGGGGGAUUGAACUAGAUGACCCUCAGUGGCCCUUCCAAGUCUACAAUUUUAUGAUUCCUCCCUUGCAAUGCUCUGGACUGCCUGAGGCAUUCCAGCAAAACAAAAUGGCAGCCACCAGCUGAAUUAUGACUGCUAUACCUAGGUCUGCCCUGCAAGCAGUGCGGGGGGCUGAGGCCAUGCAGGCAGCAGUGUGAGGGGGCUCUACCAAGGUGCCAGGGCCAGAUGUUGGAUCUGCUUCUCAUCUACUGUAUGCAGGAAUAUGUUCCUCCUCAGAAAGCUGCCUGCACACUGAUGUUGGGAGACCCUGUGGAGCCUUUUCCUCACCAGUGGUCAGAUUGUGACACCCCCACCCCCCAAAAAAGACACAGCUGAUCACAAAUUGGGAGAGUCAAAUGGCAGGUCAAAAUUGCCUUCCUUAGGUCUGCCUUUCACAGAACUGUUUGUUGAUUUCAGUUCCUUCUGGAUUCCCCUAGUUUGGUUGCUGGUAAGCUUUGUUACCGCUGCUGGAUAAUUAUUUGACAUUUUCCUUUAAACUGCAUUUUUGUUUUAAAUGGUGGUGUUGCUAAGUUGUCUUCCUUGAAAUCCACUCUCCGGGGAAAAAAUGAAAGUUAUGAGUUUGCAGGUACCAGAAUUUAGAAGUGCCAGACUCCCAUCAUUCAUGAAUUUAGUAAGUGUUAGAAUUUAACCAAUGCUUGAAGAAUCACUAGAAGUCAGAUUCUUAACAGCUGGACUCAGCUACUGUGUCAGGAGAUUGCCUGAGAAAUAGGUCAUUAACAGAGAACAAAGACAAGGAAAUGGGCUAUCAGCAAAGCAAAGACCCGGUGCCAGCCCCGCCCUGAGAUAGUGAGCAGAGACAAAAGGAGAGCAGUUGUUUAAGGUUGCAGUGGUGAUGAUUUUCCCUAGCAGAAAAGGUUCCAGUUUGUUGCAGCAAGUUGGAGAGAGGAGCUGGAGCACAAUGUGGACUGCCUGUUUGAAUCAUAAGGUUGCAGCAAUGGGAGAGAAAGGACUCUCUUGGAGUGCAGUGCUUUGAACCCCUCCUUCGUAGGCUCAGGUCAUAUAUAUGUACAGUGGUAC
RNAcentral lists this long non-coding RNA (8645 nucleotides) under Podarcis lilfordi (Lilford's wall lizard). The record is from RNAcentral. Lineage: Eukaryota; Metazoa; Chordata; Lepidosauria; Squamata; Lacertidae.